AGGAAUUAAAGAAGAGAAAGAUCGAUGGAGUGAGUCCCUGUCACUUCUGAGGCCGCCAAGCCAUCUUCUCAGAAACUGCAUUCCUUUCUUCUCAAAAUCACCGACCACCCUUUUCAAAACUCUUCACUCUCUUCUUUCCCAUAUCAAUCUCAUGUUUUCCUUUUCAACCACCCUAUAGCUUUUCCCUUUCAAUUCCCCCAAAACCAUGGUUUCCCUCUCAACCAACCCUUUCUUUUACCUCACUUCACAAACUCCUUCCCUUUCUACUACAUUUCAUCUCCAUCACAACAACGCCAAUCCAUUCUAUCACAUUAAACGCAUUAAUAAGGAUCACAGAAAUGUUGUCUGUGCUUGCAUCGCUCCUCCAAGAAACUUCAACGCUCAAGAUUCCUCCGCCAUUCAAUUCAAUGGUUCAUCAAAAUCAGAACAAUUAAGCACAGUGCGGGAUCAUGAGGAUGAUUCCGACGUUCUUAUUGAGUGUAGAGAUGUCUACAAGUCUUUUGGGGAAAAGAAAAUCUUAAAUGGUGUCAGCUUCAAGAUCAGGCAUGGUGAAGCUGUUGGAAUAAUUGGCCCCUCUGGAACUGGCAAAUCUACAAUUUUGAAGAUUAUUGCAGGACUUCUUGCUCCGGACAAGGGAGAAGUUUAUAUCCGAGGUAGAAAGAGAGGUGGUUUGAUAAGCGAUGAUGAGAUAUCUGGUCUUCGGAUUGGAUUAGUGUUCCAAAGUGCGGCACUAUUUGAUUCUUUGACUGUUCGCGAAAAUGUUGGUUUCCUCUUGUACGAACACUCGAGCAUGCCUGAGGAACAGAUAUUGGAGCUUGUCAAGGAAACCUUGGCUGCAGUUGGUUUGAAGGGAGUUGAGGAUCGACUUCCUUCCGAGUUAUCAGGUGGAAUGAAAAAGCGAGUUGCUUUAGCUCGAUCUAUUAUUUAUGACACCACACAGGAUUCAAUAGAACCAGAGGUGCUCUUGUAUGACGAACCAACAGCUGGACUUGAUCCUAUCGCAUCUACCGUUGUUGAGGAUCUGAUUCGCUCUGUGCACAUAAAAGGGCGAGAUGCUCUUGGAAAACCUGGGAAUAUAACAUCUUAUGUGGUAGUUACUCACCAACAUAGUACCAUUAAAAGAGCCAUUGAUAGGUUGUUGUUUUUACACAAGGGAAAGCUUGUUUGGGAAGGAAUGACUCAUGAAUUUACUGUUUCAACAAAUCCAAUUGUUCAGCAGGUUUAAAGGGCGAGAUGCUCUUGGAAAACCUGGGAAUAUAACAUCUUAUGUGGUAGUUACUCACCAACAUAGUACCAUUAAAAGAGCCAUUGAUAGGUUGUUGUUUUUACACAAGGGAAAGCUUGUUUGGGAAGGAAUGACUCAUGAAUUUACUGUUUCAACAAAUCCAAUUGUUCAGCAUUUUGCAUCCGGAAGCCUAGAUGGUCCUAUCAAAUAUUAGAAAAGUAUUGUGGUUGUAAACGAUGUAUUGUUAUUGUUUAUAUCUUGGCUUCUAUUGAGUUGCAAAUAGGAACGGGAAUGGAUGUAGCUUUCAAAUAACAACAUAUGAGAUGAGCAAUAAAUUGGUUCAACAAGGGAUUAAGGGGUUUUGGUAUAGAAUUUGGCAUUCAUGGUUGAAUUGGAAGCUUGAGAAGGACAUGUUACUGGUUGUUGCGGGACUUGACUCAUUGGCUACAGCAUAUUGCAUGCACACCACAAGUACCCUGCGGAAGUGAGUGGAAGAGAUUGAUAGAACCCAUUGUAUUAACAUUAUUUGUUCUAUAUACGGAGUACUUUAUGUGCUAAAUUAAAUUACAUGCUAUUUUUUGUAACACAGUUCAAUAUAAUCAAUAAGUCUGCUUCAUGGUUUUUGAUA
This is an RNA transcript of Cicer arietinum (chickpea), 1853 nucleotides long. It is a transcript of the gene named protein TRIGALACTOSYLDIACYLGLYCEROL 3, chloroplastic, with no coding region annotated. The record is from RefSeq and is a predicted model, not a curated record. NCBI's taxonomy places the organism in Eukaryota, Viridiplantae, Streptophyta, Magnoliopsida, Fabales, Fabaceae.